This 234-nucleotide ribosomal RNA is filed under the name Triticum aestivum (bread wheat). RNAcentral's name for it is "partial small subunit ribosomal RNA". Lineage: Eukaryota; Viridiplantae; Streptophyta; Magnoliopsida; Poales; Poaceae. The record is from RNAcentral.
AUGGCCGAAUCAUUUGGGAUGUUGGUGUGGAAUGUUCGGGGGCUGAACAAUCCUGCUAGGCGCAGCUCCAUUCGCUUGUUCAUGCAAAACUAUGAUGUUUCCUUGGUGUGUUUGCAAGAAUCUAAGUUGGAGGUGUUGGAUGCCUCUGUUAUCAACCAGACUUUGGGCCCUAGUUUUGAUGGGUUUGAGGCUCUGCCGGCCGAUGGUACUAGAGGAGGUAUUGUGAUCGCCUAG